Molecule: ribosomal RNA, 538 nt
Filed under: uncultured Pediococcus sp.
Lineage: Bacteria; Bacillati; Bacillota; Bacilli; Lactobacillales; Lactobacillaceae
Description: bacterial SSU rRNA
Rfam family: Bacterial small subunit ribosomal RNA
Source: RNAcentral
GGAGGCAGCAGUAGGGAAUCUUCCACAAUGGACGCAAGUCUGAUGGAGCAACGCCGCGUGAGUGAAGAAGGGUUUCGGCUCGUAAAGCUCUGUUGUUAAAGAAGAACGUGGGUGAGAGUAACUGUUCACCCAGUGACGGUAUUUAACCAGAAAGCCACGGCUAACUACGUGCCAGCAGCCGCGGUAAUACGUAGGUGGCAAGCGUUAUCCGGAUUUAUUGGGCGUAAAGCGAGCGCAGGCGGUCUUUUAAGUCUAAUGUGAAAGCCUUCGGCUCAACCGAAGAAGUGCAUUGGAAACUGGGAGACUUGAGUGCAGAAGAGGACAGUGGAACUCCAUGUGUAGCGGUGAAAUGCGUAGAUAUAUGGAAGAACACCAGUGGCGAAGGCGGCUGUCUGGUCUGUAACUGACGCUGAGGCUCGAAAGCAUGGGUAGCGAACAGGAUUAGAUACCCUGGUAGUCCAUGCCGUAAACGAUGAUUACUAAGUGUUGGAGGGUUUCCGCCCUUCAGUGCUGCAGCUAACGCAUUAAGUAAUCCGCC